AUCAAAUUCAUGAAAGCUUAGGGCGGAUACCUAGGCACCCAGAGACGAUGAAGGGCGUGGAUACCUACGAAAAGCUUCGAGGAGCUGGAAACAAGCUGAGAUUCGAAGAUCCCCGAAUAGGGCAACCUCUUAUUUUUUCUUUUGAAUUCAUAGAAAGAAAAAAGGUAACCCGGUGAAUUGAAACAUCUUAGUAGCCGGAGGAAAAGAAAGCAAACGCGAUUCCCUUAGUAGCGGCGAGCGAAAAGGGAACAGCCUAAACUAGUUAGAGUUUUCUAAUUAGGGUAGUGGGAGCAACUUUUUAGAAGCUUAGAAACCUAACGGUCAUAAAGCAACUGCUACUUUGUAGCGGCAAUCUUCUAAAAAAAGAACUGAAAAAUAAUUGACUAAGGGUAGCGAUAGCAACCGUGCUUCGCGCGGCCUUAAAAGGGUAGCUUUGCUACAACCUAAGUUUUUUGUUUUUGGUUUCAAGAUACUAUUUUUCGAGACGAAGCAGCUGAAUCCUGCACCAAAGACGGUGAAAGUCCUGUAGUUGAAUGUCAAAUAUAUUCUUUUUGUUGUUUCCCGAGUAGCAUGGGGCACGUGAAAUCCCGUGUGAAUCAGCGAGGACCACCUCGUAAGGCUAAAUACUCCUGGGUGACCGAUAGUGAAGUAGUACCGUGAGGGAAAGGUGAAAAAGAACCCCUGGAGGGGAGUGAAAAAGAACAUGAAACCCUAAGCUGACAAGCAGUGGGAGGAUUUUAAAGUCUGACCGCGUGCCUGUUGAAGAAUGAGCCGGCGACUCCUAAGAAGUGGCUAGGUUAAGGGGUUUUACCCGAAGCCAAAGCGAAAGCGAGUCUGAAUAGGGCGAAAUUGUCACUUUUUAGGGACCCGAACCCGGGUGAUCUAACCAUGGCCAGGAUGAAGCUUGGGUAAAACCAAGUGGAGGUCCGAACCGACCGAUGUUGAAAAAUCGGCGGAUGAGCUGUGGUUAGGGGUGAAAUGCCAAUCGAACUCGGAGCUAGCUGGUUCUCCCCGAAAUGCGUUGAGGCGCAGCGGUUGACGACGGGCUGACUAGGGGUAAAGCACUGUUUCGGUGCGGGCUGCGAGAGUGGUACCAAAUCGUAGCAAACUAAGAAUACUAGGCAUUGCUUACCGUCAACCAGUGAGACAGUGGGGGAUAAGCUUCAUUGUCAAGAGGGAAACAGCCCAGAUCAUCAGCUAAGGCCCCAGAAUGGUCGCUAAGUGGUAAAGGAGGUGAGACUGCAGAAACAGCCAGGAGGUUUGCUUAGAAGCAGCCACCCUUUAAAGAGUGCGUAAUAGCUCACUGGUGGAGCGGUUUUGCGCCGAAAAUUUACGGGACUAAGCGGCCUGCCGAAGCUAUGGGAUUCAUACAAUUCAAAUAGACCCUAAAGGGGUACUUUGUUCAAUGUAUUAAUCGGUAGGGGAGCGUUCCGCUCUAGGGUGAAGCAUAAACGAAAGUUAUUGUGGACAAAGCGGAAGUGAGAAUGUCGGCUUGAGUAACGCAAACAUUGGUGAGAAUCCAAUGCCCCGAAAACCUAAGGGUUCCUUCACUAGGUUCGUCCAUGGAGGGUUAGUCAGGACCUAAGGCCAGGCCGAAAGGCGUAGUCGAUGGAAAAUAGGUAAACAUUCCUAUACUUUUUUUUAGUUGGUAACGGGGGACGAAGUCGGCUUAAGUGAGCCUUUAUUGGAUUUUGGUGGAAACGUUCGAGAUGUUGAAAGGUAGAAAAAAAGCUAUCCUUGAGUUAAGACGUGUUACGUUUUGAGUGGAGAAAGGAUUUAUUCUUUUAAAGUUUGAAAUUCACUUAUGAGUCAUACUUCCUAGAAAAGCCCGCACUACUUUUACACUAAAAAAGACCUGUACCUUAAACCGACACAGGUAGGUAAGUAGAGUAUACUAAGGGGCGCGAGAUAACUCUCUCUAAGGAACUCGGCAAAAUGGCCCCGUAACUUCGGGAGAAGGGGUACCCUUUUAAAAGAGGGUCGCAGUGACCAGGCCCAGGCGACUGUUUACCAAAAACACAGGUCUCCGCAAAGUCGUAAGACAAUAUAUGGGGGCUGACGCCUGCCCAGUGCCGGAAGGUGAAGGAAGUUGGUUAUCCCUUUUUUGGGAAAAGCUGACGACCGAAGCCCCGGUGAACGGCGGCCGUAACUAUAACGGUCCUAAGGUAGCGAAAUUCCUUGUCGGGUAAGUUCCGACCCGCACGAAAGGCGUAACGAUCUGGGCACUGUCUCGGAGAGAGACUCGGUGAAAUAGACAUGUCCGUGAAGAUGCGGACUUCCUGCACCUGGACAGAAAGACCCUAUGAAGCUUUACUGUAGCCUGGAAUUGGGUUUGGGCUUUUCUUGCGCAGUUUAGGUGGGAGGCUUUGAAGAUUCUUUGCGGAGAAUUGGAGCCAACAGUGAGAUACCACUCUAGAAAGGCUAGAAUCCUAAUGGCGUCCCUUGAAUCAGGGCGCUCGACAGUUUCAGGUGGGCAGUUUGACUGGGGCGGUCACCUCCUAAAAGGUAACGGAGGUGUGCAAAGGUUCCCUCAGGCUGGACGGAAAUCAGCCUAAGAGUGUAAAGGCAGAAGGGAGCUUGACUGCAAGACUUACAAGUCAAGCAGGGGCGAAAGCCGGCCUUAGUGAUCCGACGGUACCCUGUGGAAGGGCCGUCGCUCAACGGAUAAAAGUUACUCUAGGGAUAACAGGCUGAUCUUCCCCAAGAGUUCACAUCGACGGGAAGGUUUGGCACCUCGAUGUCGGCUCAUCGCAACCUGGGGCGGUAGGACGUCCCAAGGGUUGGGCUGUUCGCCCAUGAAAGCGGUACGUGAGCUGGGUUCAGAACGUCGUGAGACAGUUCGGUCCAUAUCCGGUGUAGGCGUUAGAGCAUUGAGAGGAGCCUUCCAUUGUACGAGAGGACCCGGAAGGACGCACCACUAGUAUACCAGUUCUUGUGCCAACGGGAAACGCUGGGUAGCCAAGUGCGGAGUGGAUAACUGCUGAAAGCAUCUAAGUAGGAAGCCCACCUCAAGAUGAGUGCUCUCCUGAGGUCACGGUUAGACAAACCGUUUGAUAGGUGUCAAGUGUAAGGCUAGCAAUGGUUUCAGCUAAGACAUACUAACAGACCGAGUGGUUUUGAU
This 3121-nucleotide ribosomal RNA is filed under the name Fusochloris perforata. RNAcentral describes it as "LSU rRNA". It matches the Rfam family "Bacterial large subunit ribosomal RNA". The record is from RNAcentral. Lineage: Eukaryota; Viridiplantae; Chlorophyta; Trebouxiophyceae; Microthamniales; Microthamniaceae.